AACCUUAUGGACCUGCGGGCGUAUACCUGCGGAGGGAUCAUUACACAAAUAACAUAUGAAGGCUGUACGCGGCUGUGCCCUUUGGGUGCAGCGUCUGCUAAGGCUGGAUUAUUUAUUUUUCACCCUUGUCUUUUGCGCACUUGUUGUUUCCUGGGCGGGUUCGCCCGCCACCAGGACCACAUGAUAAACCUUUUUUAUGCAGUUGCAAUCAGCGUCAGUACAACAAAAUGUAAAUCAUUU
RNAcentral lists this unclassified non-coding RNA (240 nucleotides) under soil metagenome. RNAcentral's name for it is "partial contains 5.8S ribosomal RNA, internal transcribed spacer 2, and large subunit ribosomal RNA". The record is from RNAcentral.